Molecule: ribosomal RNA, 492 nt
Filed under: uncultured bacterium
Lineage: Bacteria
Description: partial 16S ribosomal RNA
Rfam family: Bacterial small subunit ribosomal RNA
Source: RNAcentral
AGUGAACGCUGGCGGUAGGCCUAACACAUGCAAGUCGAACGGCAGCACAGUAAGAGCUUGCUCUUACGGGUGGCGAGUGGCGGACGGGUGAGGAAUACAUCGGAAUCUACUUUUUCGUGGGGGAUAACGUAGGGAAACUUACGCUAAUACCGCAUACGACCUACGGGUGAAAGCAGGGGAUCUUCGGACCUUGCGCGAUUGAAUGAGCCGAUGUCGGAUUAGCUAGUUGGCGGGGUAAAGGCCCACCAAGGCGACGAUCCGUAGCUGGUCUGAGAGGAUGAGAAGCCACACUGGAACUGAGAAACGGUCCAGACUCCUACGGGAGGCAGCAGUGGGGAAUAUUGGACAAUGGGCGCAAGCCUGAUCCAGCCAUACCGCGUGGGUGAAGAAGGCCUUCGGGUUGUAAAGCCCUUUUGUUGGGAAAGAAAAGCAGCAGGUUAAUACCCCGCUGUUCUGACGGUACCCAAAGAAUAAGCACCGGCUAACUUCGUG